This 72-nucleotide small nucleolar RNA is filed under the name Drosophila yakuba. RNAcentral describes it as "snoRNA:GE27060". Lineage: Eukaryota; Metazoa; Arthropoda; Insecta; Diptera; Drosophilidae. The record is from RNAcentral.
AUGUUAUGAUGAACACAUUAUUUAAACAGUUAUCCCUGUCAUAAAAAUAAUUGAUGAUUAAUUCAGCUGACA